RNAcentral lists this ribosomal RNA (532 nucleotides) under uncultured bacterium. RNAcentral's name for it is "bacterial SSU rRNA". It matches the Rfam family "Bacterial small subunit ribosomal RNA", at positions 366 to 889 of the family's 1533-position model. The record is from RNAcentral.
GGACAAUGGGCGCAAGCCUGAUCCAGCCAUACCGCGUGGGUGAAGAAGGCCUUCGGGUUGUAAAGCCCUUUUGUUGGGAAAGAAAUCCAGCUGGCUAAUACCCGGUUGGGAUGACGGUACCCAAAGAAUAAGCACCGGCUAACUUCGUGCCAGCAGCCGCGGUAAUACGAAGGGUGCAAGCGUUACUCGGAAUUACUGGGCGUAAAGCGUGCGUAGGUGGUCGUUUAAGUCCGUUGUGAAAGCCCUGGGCUCAACCUGGGAACUGCAGUGGAUACUGGGCGACUAGAGUGUGGUAGAGGGUAGCGGAAUUCCUGGUGUAGCAGUGAAAUGCGUAGAGAUCAGGAGGAACAUCCAUGGCGAAGGCAGCUACCUGGACCAACACUGACACUGAGGCACGAAAGCGUGGGGAGCAAACAGGAUUAGAUACCCUGGUAGUCCACGCCCUAAACGAUGCGAACUGGAUGUUGGGUGCAAUUUGGCACGCAGUAUCGAAGCUAACGCGUUAAGUUCGCCGCCUGGGGAGUACGGUCGC